UAGGGAAUCUUCCGCAAUGGACGAAAGUCUGACGGAGCAACGCCGCGUGAGUGAUGAAGGUUCUCGGAUCGUAAAGCUCUGUUGCCAGGGAAGAACAACGAGGAGAGUAACUGCGCUUCGUGUGACGGUACCUGAGAAGAAAGCCCCGGCUAACUACGUGCCAGCAGCCGCGGUAAUACGUAGGGGGCAAGCGUUGUCCGGAAUUAUUGGGCGUAAAGCGCGCGCAGGCGGCCUUGUAAGUCUAGUGUUUAAUCUCGGAGCUCAACUCCGAUUCGCACUGAAAACUGCAAAGCUUGAGUACAGAAGAGGAAAGUGGAAUUCCACGUGUAGCGGUGAAAUGCGUAGAGAUGUGGAGGAACACCAGUGGCGAAGGCGACUUUCUGGGCUGUAACUGACGCUGAGGCGCGAAAGCGUGGGGAGCAAACAGGAUUAGAUACCCCUGUAGUCC
RNAcentral lists this ribosomal RNA (448 nucleotides) under uncultured bacterium. RNAcentral describes it as "bacterial SSU rRNA". It matches the Rfam family "Bacterial small subunit ribosomal RNA", at positions 355 to 796 of the family's 1533-position model. The record is from RNAcentral.